RNAcentral lists this transfer RNA (56 nucleotides) under Neotoma lepida (desert woodrat). It matches the Rfam family "tRNA". Rfam says of the family: Transfer RNA (tRNA) molecules are approximately 80 nucleotides in length. Their secondary structure includes four short double-helical elements and three loops (D, anti-codon, and T loops). Further hydrogen bonds mediate the characteristic L-shaped molecular structure. tRNAs have two regions of fundamental functional importance: the anti-codon, which is responsible for specific mRNA codon recognition, and the 3' end, to which the tRNAs corresponding amino acid is attached (by aminoacyl-tRNA synthetases). tRNAs cope with the degeneracy of the genetic code in two manners: having more than one tRNA (with a specific anti-codon) for a particular amino acid; and 'wobble' base-pairing, i.e. permitting non-standard base-pairing at the 3rd anti-codon position. Lineage: Eukaryota; Metazoa; Chordata; Mammalia; Rodentia; Cricetidae. The record is from Rfam by way of RNAcentral.
GAAGUUGUGGCUCAGUGGUAGAGCAUUUGCCUAAAAUGCUUAAGGCUCCUGCUUCA